This 255-nucleotide ribosomal RNA is filed under the name uncultured bacterium. RNAcentral describes it as "partial 16S ribosomal RNA". It matches the Rfam family "Bacterial small subunit ribosomal RNA", at positions 524 to 767 of the family's 1533-position model. The record is from RNAcentral.
UACGUAGGGUGCGAGCGUUAAUCGGAAUUACUGGGCGUAAAGCGUGCGCAGGCGGUUAUAUAAGACAGAUGUGAAAAUCCCCGGGCGUCAACCUGGGAACGUAGCAUUAGUGACUGUAUAGCUAGAGUGCGGCGAGAGGGGGGUGGGAAUUACUGCGUGUAGCAGUGAAAUAGCGUAGAGAUGCGGAGGAACACCGAUGGCGAAGGCAGCCCCCUCGGGAGUAACACUGACGCUCAUGCCCGAAACGCGUGGGGA